This 2252-nucleotide long non-coding RNA is filed under the name Citrus maxima (pomelo). Its description in RNAcentral is "long non-coding RNA (CMAX_LNC003882)". The record is from RNAcentral. Lineage: Eukaryota; Viridiplantae; Streptophyta; Magnoliopsida; Sapindales; Rutaceae.
AUUCUUCUAACGCAUCAUUAAUCUCCAAUCUUCUAACACAUCAUUAAUCUCCAACUAGAUCAUCAUCAUUAAUCUGCAAAUUCAAUCAAAACACAGAUAAUAUUAAAUGCACAAUGAGCCAAAUGAAAAAUGAAAGAAGCUUAAUAGUGUAAGUUCAGCCAGUUGUGACAGUUACCUGCGGAUAUGAUGAGUGCUUGACCAGUAUAAUUCAGGUUUGCCUUUGUCCAAGGAAUUUUUCAAACUGCAACCAACUGAUAACAAAAAGUAAAUGAGAAAAUGACAGAAAAAAGCCAGACCUGCCAUUUGAUGCAUGAAUAGAGCAGAUAUGAACUAAACAGGAAAUUCUGAAACCAUAUAAUUUGCCACCAUGGCCAUAACAAAUGAAAUAUCUUUGGCAGCCGGAUAGAUUUUCAAAUCAAGUGAAACUUAAGAUGAAUAACACAGGACAGAAGAUUAGGUAAUAGAAGACAGGGCCACAGAACAGAACACCAGGGAUCUGUAACAUUGAGGUCCUUUCCUAAAAAUAUACUCUUCAAUUAGGCACAACAAUAAGCAUCAAGCACAUACCAAAAAAAGAAAAAUAAACACUAUUCAGAACAUGGUUGGGUCUCCUCUUCAUCAUCAUUAUCAGUCACUUCUCCAUUUAUUUCUUCCCCAUUCAUCACUUUAUCUUUAGGAAUCUCACCUAAUUUAAAAAAAAAAAAACUUGUAAAAUAUAAAAAAAAAAACAAAUACUAUCAAAAUCAAAUAAGUGCAUAAGUGAGCUGAAUUUGAUACCUUUUAAUUGAGCCCAUAUCCAAUUCUGAGUACACAUUAAGGCCUCUACUGUACUCGGAUGAAGUCUACUACGAUGUGGGCUUUAUCAAAUGCAUCUUUUUUCUUGUAGACCUUAGAUGCUUGACUAGGGCUAGAAGCUGGAGCUGGAGCUGAUUCUUGUAUCUGUUUGGGACACCUAUCAAUAUGGUUUAACAAAUGUGAAGUUCCACUUGAUUGCUGUCCAGCAAAACCUUUGCCACAAUGAUUACACACUGCCUUCAUUUCUCCAUUAAUUGUUCUCCUUGUGAAAUGGUCCCAAGCUCUAGAUGCUUGUCUCAAUGAGCUUCUAGGUUGUCCUUCCGAGUCUCGUUUUGUACCUCCACUAAUUGAAUGAGUUUGUGGAUUUUCAGCAUUAACAUUACUUGAGGCUUGAGGGUUUAAUUGAACAGCAGGAUCAGAAUCAAAAUCAGACAUAAUUAACCUGAAAAAAGACAUUACAGAGCAAUUAUUAACAAUCCCUAAACUUCCAGAACUAGCUAGCUCGUUUGUUUGGAAGUAGUAGUAGUGCUUAACAUGAACCAUAUAGAGAUCAAUUAGAUGAUAAUCUAACUUCCAGCAUCCGUCAAUAUUUUAUUUCACAAUGGGAGGGCCACAUUUCCACAAAUGGCAACACCCAAUAGCAAAUGGAGCCUCAACUGAUUUCGGCCUCUAGAAGCUGAAAAAGUUUUGUUGGAAAAUUCGACUAUCAGAUUUCAAAUGAUUAUGUGAAAGGCCAUAUAUUAUAUAUACUAGCAGAUUCUUUGAAGAAAGUAACCACUGCAUAUUGAAACUCUUCCAAUUCCUCUCUCUCUCUCUCUCUCUCUGUACACACACACACACACACACACACAGAGCCAUGUAAACAAAAAUAAGAAAAAUAAUGGAAGCCAUAAAGGCAUAAGAUUUUAGGCUUGUAAAAGCUUAUUUCAUGUUUAAUCAUGGAGCCAAAUUCAUAAACUAAAUUAAACCCCAUCCAGCAAUUAAUCAAAAUCUAGAUUUGUGACUGACAAAAGGUGAAGAAAAUAUUUGCAUAAUUUUAGUAAAAUCACCAGAAAUACGGUGAAAAUGCUGGGUACUGUGAAGAUCAAUCAAAGCCAAAUAUAUAUUAAACGGCUUAUAAGCUUCAGCAAUCAAAACUUACCUUGCGCGGGAGACAACGAACAGGCGGACGGACGACGGUGGUGGCAGCGACGACAGAGACGAUGGUAGCUGGAACGAGGCAGAAAAACGCUCAAGAACAGCUGGAAGCUGCAGUUACGGCUGAUCAACCAUUGGUACAGCGCCGGCACACCUAAACGGAACCCCCGGAAAGCGGCGUCGGAGUCGGGGAAGAGCGUCGGUAAGCAAAGACCGGCCGGCGAGCGAUGUGAUAAUCUUAGGUUUUGCUAUCCAGACAUUUGUUUUUGCUUAUUUCAUUUUAGUUUUACGAUUUUAAUUUUUUAAUUUCAAAUAAGAUA